Odocoileus virginianus texanus is the source of this 1915-nucleotide non-coding RNA. NCBI's taxonomy places the organism in Eukaryota, Metazoa, Chordata, Mammalia, Artiodactyla, Cervidae. The record is from RefSeq and is a predicted model, not a curated record.
CUGUGCAAAAGCUUUUAAAUUUAAUUAGAUCCCAUUUGUUUAUUCUUAUUUUUAUUUUCAUUACUCUACCUACCCUGAUUCUGGGACCCAGAAAGGUAUAAGCUCUCUUAUUCCCUCUCUGAUUCCUCUUCUCCCUUUCUCUGAUUGGGAAGAACUUUAUAUAGCCAUGGGCAAUUGAAGGGGAUUCAGUGACUAUUCCUUUAACUUAAUAUAUACUUUCUGGGUGGAAAAACUGUUUUUCGAUAUAGUAAAAUAGCACACCACUGCAAAACUAAUCACAAAAUUUUAAGAAAUAUGUGUUGUAGAACAGAUUGACCAAGGCUGGAAGGUUCAGACUGUCCAGGAAGAUUCAGAGAAGCUGAACUUAGGACAGAGAUCUGAAGGUCAUUGGGAAAGAAGUAUGCAGAAUUUCAGAAACUACUUGAAGGAAGAAAAAGCUUUGGCAUGCUGGAAGUGCAUUUUAUAUCACAGCUGAGCAUUACAUAUCAGAGGAGUUUUUAACCACUGUGAUUUUGUCCACAAAGAAGGUCUGGACACUUCCUGUAUCUGCAUAAUUUGAUGGACUCGAGUAUUCUGAGCUUAAUGAUGAAUUAUUUCAAAUGGAACCAAGGUUGCACUUUUUACAUCUAUUUUCUUCAGAGAAGACAUCAAAGUUUUGCAAAGACCAGCUGUAUCCUCAUUUCUUAUAUGAAGGAAACUUUGUUCCCAGACUUAGUGUCUGUGUCAAUGGCAUUCACCUGAAACCUGGGAUGGGACUGUAUCAACAUCAAGGUUACAUUUAGAAUUCUUAAAGGAACAGAACAUGACCCUCAUCCUCCAGAAGCUCACAAGCAAAUAAGAGACGUUUGUGAAAUACAAAGAAGAGGCUCAGGAAAGGACUGGAUCCAUCAUUUAUUUAUUUAUUUAUUUUCAUUUUCUUAUUUCCCAAAAGGAAGUAGCAAAAGCUGCCUACCAAAAUAAAAUACACUGUAGUUAACUUCAGUUCACUGUGCUCAUUCUGAUUGGAGUGAUAUUUUUCCUUCUCUCCUACUUGGAUUGAUCAAAAAGAAAAAAAAUUGAGCUUAAUUCCUGGCAAAAGAUGAGGAAGGAAAUAAUAAAUUAGGGCAUUUCAAAUAUAUCUUAUAAGUCCCUAUUAAUAUUCCAACAUGAAAAAUCAAUAUCCCUUAGCCUCAAACAAUAUAGAGUUUAACUACAAUAGCAAUCAAAGGAAGAAUAAUUGAAACUUUUAUGGAAAACUUUCUUCACAAGCUUGAACAAUUUUAGCACCCAGUGAUAAGUAAAAUUUAAAUCUAAAAGCAUUGUUACAUGCUCCUUAACUUUGAUUAUCUAUACUUUGCAAAUCUUGGUUUUCUUUUCUAAUUUUGUAUACAUGCAAGCUAUUUCCUUGUAUUUUCAUGUACACAUCUCAUUUGAAUGCAGAUUAUUUUAGAAACUCAUGAGAGUGUGCUUUCCAGGUUGAGAGUAGUAGCUCUCUGUCCAAUAUGGUUACACAUAUUUAUCAUGACAUUUUUUCAAAACCAAUUUUAAUAAAAACAAACAUUUGCUCACACAGAAGCAGGAGUUAAAGAAGAGAUUCCUUUGUGGGUUUAUCACAGAUUUUUUUUUUUUUUUGGUUUAAAAUAUGUCAGAGUCUCUUUAGCCUUUACUGAGGCUAUUUGGAUAUCCUUUAGUUUGGGGUCUUUUGUUGUUGUUUUGGUUUGCCUUAUUUGUUUUGUUUCAUGCAUUUUUUUUUUUUUAACUGGCAGCAGAUUAGUCCAGUCCUGCUUCUAUUGCAAGGAGGAAUCAGUUCAAGUGCUGAGAUACUCUGGGAAAUUUUUGAACAACAAAAUAAUCUGAAACAUCUAAUUUUUCAAACCAAAAAUUGUUGUUGUUUAUGAGCUAAGUCAUAACUGACUCUUUUGCAACCCCAUGGACU